Molecule: long non-coding RNA, 258 nt
Filed under: Mytilus galloprovincialis (Mediterranean mussel)
Lineage: Eukaryota; Metazoa; Mollusca; Bivalvia; Mytilida; Mytilidae
Source: RNAcentral
GCGCGAAAGUACGGGAAACAAUUACAUAAGAUAACGUUAUAAAGUCUCUUGGCCUAUAUUCACGACAUUCUGGGGGCCUCAAACUUCAUAAGAAAUAAAAUUAUUUUAAAUGAUAAAUAAUCAAAACUUUAAAAGAUCUAUAAAUGGAUCACAUUGAAAGUUUUUUUUGUAAUUUCACUUUACGUUAACUGUCCUUCACAAAAAUCCUUUAACAGUUACUAUAGUUCUAAUGGAUAUAACUUCACAAUUGGUUGUGUG